ACGGAAGGCAGCAGUGGGGGAUAUUGCACAAUGGGGGAAACCCUGAUGCAGCGACGCCGCGUGAGUGAAGAAGUAUUUCGGUAUGUAAAGCUCUAUCAGCAGGGAAGAAAAUGACGGUACCUGACUAAGAAGCUCCGGCUAAAUACGUGCCAGCAGCCGCGGUAAUACGUAUGGAGCAAGCGUUAUCCGGAUUUACUGGGUGUAAAGGGAGCGUAGACGGCGAGGCAAGUCUGAUGUGAAAGCCAUGGGCUCAACCCAUGAACUGCAUUGGAAACUGUCUUGCUAGAGUGUCGGAGAGGUAAGCGGAAUUCCUAGUGUAGCGGUGAAAUGCGUAGAUAUUAGGAGGAACACCAGUGGCGAAGGCGGCUUACUGGACUGUAACUGACGUUGAGGCUCGAAAGCGUGGGGAGCAAACAGGAUUAGAUACCCUGGUA
Molecule: ribosomal RNA, 434 nt
Filed under: uncultured bacterium
Lineage: Bacteria
Also listed under: 1 other name
Description: partial 16S ribosomal RNA
Rfam family: Bacterial small subunit ribosomal RNA
Source: RNAcentral